Clupea harengus (Atlantic herring) is the source of this 607-nucleotide long non-coding RNA. NCBI's taxonomy places the organism in Eukaryota, Metazoa, Chordata, Actinopteri, Clupeiformes, Clupeidae. The record is from Ensembl.
CGAUCACUCUGGAGGUUUAAAUAAGCUCUGUUUCUGAUCACUCCGUUGGUUUAAAUAAGCUCUGUUUCCGAUCACUCUGGAGGUUCAAAUAAGCUCUGUUUCUGAUCACUCCGUUGGUUUAAAUAAGCUGUUUCUGAUCACUCUGGAGGUUUAAAUAAGCUGUUUCUGAUCACUCUGGAGGUUUAAAUAAGCUGUUUCUGAUCACUCCGGAGGUUUAAAUAAGCUCUGUUUCUGAUCACUCCGGAGGUUUGAAUAAGCUGUUUCUGAUCACUCCAGAGGUUUAAAUAAGCUGUUUCUGAUCACUCUGGAGGUUUAAAUAAGCUGUUUCUGAUCACUCCGGAGGUUUAAAUAAGCUCUGUUUCUGUUAGGGAAAAUGAGUGCUCAGUUUAUGGAGGUCAUAGCUAUGUCCCCUACCAUGAAUGCAGAGACAGUUGAUAACUUUACCUUGAAAAUAUUGAAUGUCAUGGCCGUAGUUGCACUGGCAAAAGUCAAGAAAACUUUGCGCAAACAGAAAGCACUAUGGAGAAACAAGCACUGAAAGGAGAAUGCAGGAAGCUGAACGCAAAUAGAGAAUAACUAAACAUCAAAUCCACUAUGGCCUCUUUAA